Rhinichthys klamathensis goyatoka is the source of this 990-nucleotide long non-coding RNA. RefSeq lists it as uncharacterized. The transcript has 3 exons. NCBI's taxonomy places the organism in Eukaryota, Metazoa, Chordata, Actinopteri, Cypriniformes, Leuciscidae. The record is from RefSeq and is a predicted model, not a curated record.
UCUAUGUUGUUAGGUUACCAGGUUAGGCUAACCAGACAUCUUUUCAAUACAGGUACAGUGUGUGGGCGCCCUUACGUUCGAUAUCUCCUGACCACCCCUGCAUCUCGCUGCAAAGGUUACAGCGUGAUCUCCCCACAAAUUGAUUAAAGGAGUGUCUCACUCAGUCACAGUAUAGUGCAAACAAUCCAGCACCCUUCAAUAGGAAAGAGCCAGUCAGGUCUAGGUCCGUGCGUUCCUGGAUCCAUUUUAACAUGGCUGUAUUACGGAGAGUAGCUGUUCUGACCGGCAGGUGUUAUUACCGCACUUCAUUUGCAAGCCUCUCUGUUUCAGACCCUUGAAGUUAUGGUAAAGGAACUGAAAGACUCGCAGAGCCCUGAGGGUGAUUUGUUGUUAAGGAAACCAGGCAGGAGCGUGUUACAAGGCAUCAGUUCACUCCGAGCGCCUGUCCUCUGCUGCGCGCUAGAAGAGCGGGUAAUGGAUCAGACCGGGGCCCAGGAGACCUCUGCCUGAAUCAAACCGUUCAAUACGUGCCAACACAGGCUCCUCUGCCUCCGAGCAGCAAACAGAGGAAAGAGCCGUAUAGACAGACACCUGAUUUAAAACUUCAGCACUGCACAUACACUCACCCUUGGAUGUAUUAGCAUAUAACAUAGACAUAUUCUUUUACUCAGAAAAGAAAAACUCACCAUUGGACUGGCCUGAUUGAUUCGCUGUGUUUGUGUGUAAGAGGUUGCUGUGCUAACAUGGUUUUGUUCCUUAGCCACAGAGGUUUCGUAUCCGUCACUGUCCCGUUAAGACUGCCUGCAAAUUAGUCUCUGCCAUGCUUUUCUUUCCAGGAUGCAAAAUAAAGGAGUUACAAAUGAUGAAGCGCAGAUGUAAACAGAAGUGUGUUUGCCCUGUUUAGGACUAAUUUAAGUCCUCCCUGAAUUUGAUUACUACUAAGUAGAUUGAUAACUGUUGUAAUAUCAGUGUGGUUAGCUAAUUCACUCU